Molecule: long non-coding RNA, 644 nt
Filed under: Homo sapiens (human)
Lineage: Eukaryota; Metazoa; Chordata; Mammalia; Primates; Hominidae
Description: non-protein coding lnc-MARCH8-2:1
Source: RNAcentral
UGUUCAGUACACAUUUGAGAGAAGGCUUCAGAGAGGAGUUGAUAAUUGAUGAUGUCUUACAGGAUAAGUCAAAUUCUACUGGGUUGACAAGGUAGAGUUUACUUUAGAAGAGAUUGCAGAUGUGGAAGGACUUGGUACAUCCUUCGGGGAGAAUGUACUACUCAUCACCUCCCACCUGUGAAAGCCCCUCUUCAGACAAAGAAGAAAACAACAAAUCAUUGUUUUCUUUGUGGAAAGAAAACAGGACUGGCUAGUAGCUACGAAUGCAGGCAGGUUGGCGAGCUGGAGAAGCUCAGAUGCUUUCUCUGUGAUAACCCAGCUUGGGGAUUAUGCAAAAUAAAAUAUUUAAAUUGCCUGUUUAUAACAUCAUUAAGAUGAUGUUCAAUAGCUAUCUUCAGUUGAACUUCUAAUUGGCUGAAGUAAAGAACAAGUAGAUAGCUCAUGGGUUUCCAAAAGACAAAAACAGAUCCUUCCUUGUCCUUUAAGUUAGGAGGUUUAAACCAAUCUGAGAGUGUACCUUUUUCGUCUUAUGAUGAACCUGCUUGGAUUUUGUUUGAGUGGCACCUUGGAAGAACCCCUCCCUGAAUAUUCUAUUAAAAAUUUAAUUAAAAAAUUAAAAGUUAAUAUAAAAUAGAUGAAUAAUA